RNAcentral lists this ribosomal RNA (549 nucleotides) under uncultured bacterium. RNAcentral's name for it is "bacterial SSU rRNA". It matches the Rfam family "Bacterial small subunit ribosomal RNA", at positions 355 to 896 of the family's 1533-position model. The record is from RNAcentral.
UAGGGAAUCUUCCACAAUGGGUACAAACCUGAUGGAGCAAUGCCGCGUGAGUGAAGAAGGUUUUCGGAUCGUAAAGCUCUGUUGUUAGAGAAGAACACGUGCUAGGUAACUACUAGCGCCUUGACGGUAUCUAACCAGAAAGUCACGGCUAACUACGUGCCAGCAGCCGCGGUAAUACGUAGGUGACAAGCGUUGUCCGGAUUUAUUGGGCGUAAAGGGAGCGCAGGCGGUCUGUUUAGUCUAAUGUGAAAGCCCACGGCUUAACCGUGGAACGGCAUUGGAAACUGACAGACUUGAAUGUAGAAGAGGAAAAUGGAAUUCCAAGUGUAGCGGUGGAAUGCGUAGAUAUUUGGAGGAACACCAGUGGCGAAGGCGAUUUUCUGGUCUAACAUUGACGCUGAGGCUCGAAAGCGUGGGGAGCGAACAGGAUUAGAUACCCUGGUAGUCCACGCCGUAAACGAUGAGUGCUAAGUGUUGGGGGCUUUCCGGCCCUCGGUGCUGGAGCUAACGUAUUAAGCACUCCGCCUGGGGAUUACGACCGCAAGGUUG